RNAcentral lists this ribosomal RNA (162 nucleotides) under uncultured bacterium. RNAcentral's name for it is "partial 16S ribosomal RNA". It matches the Rfam family "Bacterial small subunit ribosomal RNA", at positions 393 to 539 of the family's 1533-position model. The record is from RNAcentral.
GACACCGCGUGGAGGACGAAGCCCUUCGGGGUGUAAACUCCUUUUCGGAGGGACGAAUAAGGCCAUCAGGAAAUGGGUGGCCGAUGACGGUACCUCCGGAACAAGGGACGGCUAACUCUGUGCCAGCAACUGCGGUGACUGAGCGGGCUGGCAAGGCGCAUA